RNAcentral lists this ribosomal RNA (351 nucleotides) under Triticum aestivum (bread wheat). RNAcentral's name for it is "partial small subunit ribosomal RNA". Lineage: Eukaryota; Viridiplantae; Streptophyta; Magnoliopsida; Poales; Poaceae. The record is from RNAcentral.
UCAUCUUCCUCAUCCGGCGCUAUCUCCCAGCCUACCCUCAGCGGCCAGGUCAUCGAGAAGCUUUCCCGCACAAACUAUGUGUUGUGGCGCACGCAGAUCAUCCCGCAACUGCGUGGCGCCGGGGUCUUCGGCUACGUCGACGGCACCCUGCCGGAACCGGCCAAACUCCUCGCCACCAAGGACAAGGAUGGCAAGGAGACGUUUGAGCCCAACCCUCUCCACCCGAUCUGGGUCAGGGAGGACCAACAGGUGCUCGGCUACCUGCUGAGUAACCUCUCCAAGGAAGUCCUCAUCACGGUGACCACGGUCACCACAGCGACUGUGCUCUGGACGACUCUGGCGGCCAUGUAA